This 47-nucleotide small nucleolar RNA is filed under the name Euglena gracilis. RNAcentral describes it as "partial Eg-m6.2 box C/D methylation-guide snoRNA". The record is from RNAcentral. Lineage: Eukaryota; Euglenozoa; Euglenophyceae; Euglenales; Euglenaceae.
AUUACCACCUUUCGGGACUGCUUGGUGAUGACGCUCAAUCCCUGAUC